AUCAACUUUCGAUGGUAGGAUAGAGGCCUACCAUGGUGGUAACGGGUAACGGGGUGUUAGGGCACGACACCGGAGAGGGAGCCUGAGAAACGGCUACCACAUCCAAGGAUGGCAGCAGGCGCGCAAAUUACCCAAUCCCGACACGGGGAGGUAGUGACAAUAAAUAACAAUACGGGGUCCUUUCGGGUUUCGUAAUUGGAAUGAGUACAAUUUAAAUCUCUUAACGAGGAACAAUUGGAGGGCAAGUCUGGUGCCAGCAGCCGCGGUAAUUCCAGCUCCAAUAGCGUAUAUUAAAGUUGUUGCAGUUAAAAAGCUCGUAGUUGAAUUUCGGGAUUAGUACGCUGGUCGUGCCUUCGGUAUGUACUGGUGUUACUGGUUCCUACCUUCUGACGAACCGUCAUGUCAUUAAUUUGGUGUGGCGGGAAAUCAGGACUGUUACUUUGAAAAAAUUAGAGUGUUUAAAGCAGGCUCGCGCUUGAAUACAUUAGCAUGGAAUAAUGAAAUAGGACGUUCGAUCCUAUUUUGUUGGUUUCUAGGAUUGACGUAAUGAUUAAUAGGGAUAGUUGGGGGCAUUAGUAUUCAAUUGUCAGAGGUGAAAUUCUUGGAUUUAUUGAAGACUAACUACUGCGAAAGCAUUUGCCAAGGAUGUUUUCAUUAAUCAAGAACGAAAGUUAGGGGAUCGAAGACGAUCAGAUACCGUCGUAGUCUUAACCAUAAACUAUGCCGACUAGGGAUCGGAUGAUGUUAUUUUUAAUGACUCAUUCGGCGCCUUACGGGAAACCAAAGUGUUUGGGUUC
Molecule: ribosomal RNA, 797 nt
Filed under: uncultured Glomeromycotina
Lineage: Eukaryota; Fungi; Glomeromycota
Description: SSU rRNA
Rfam family: Eukaryotic small subunit ribosomal RNA
Source: RNAcentral